Molecule: long non-coding RNA, 908 nt
Organism: Oncorhynchus keta (chum salmon)
Lineage: Eukaryota; Metazoa; Chordata; Actinopteri; Salmoniformes; Salmonidae
Exons: 3
Source: RefSeq, a predicted model, not a curated record
AGACGGAGAGAAGGGGAUAGAGAGCCUUGUUCCCCUCUUCAGAGAUCCAUGUGGGGAACAGAUACAGUAAUGUAAUGUGUAGCAAAUUAUAGCUCAAUACACUAAAAAUAUCUAAUUCGGUAGCUCCAUCUGCAAUGGUUCAAGCUAGCUGUUGAGUUAGCUUACAGUUUGUUUUUGUUAAACCUAGUCUACUGUAAUGUUGUUGAGGAUGAGAAAGACUUAUUAGGCAAAAAGAUGACUAAUUUAGUUAUGUUUUUUUAAGGACCUAAGGAGAACAGAGAUACCAUGCCCUAUGUACUGCUCCAAGAUCAGUUAUCUCCCCCCAAUGGUAAACCACAUCUGCUGUGCAUCUAAAAGACAGAACUGUCUCCAGGUCAGAUUUUAACCACAGUAUUGUAAUCUAUUUGGCACAUGCUCAGUUCAUGUUAUAAUAGCUCAGAAGAGCCUAAAACCAGAAUUUACAUUAUUAUGGUGUUGGGUUAAAUGCAGAAGACCAUAUUUCAGUUGAAUACGAUUAGUUGUACAACUGACAAGGUAUCCCCUCUUUCACUUUCUGUUGUACAACUGACUAGGUAUCUCCCCUUUCUGUUGUACAACUGACUAGGUAUCCCCCCUUUCUGUUGUACAACUGACUAGGUAUCCCCCUUUAACUUUCUGUUGUACAACUGACUAGGUACCCCCCUUCCCUUUCUGUUGUACAACUGACUAGGUCUCCCCCUUUCUGUUGUACAACUGACUAGGUCUCCCCCUUUCUGUUGUAUAACUGACUAGGUACCCCCCUUUCCACCUGACUAGGUACCCCCCUUUCCACCUGACUAGGUAUCCCCCCUUUCCACCUGACUAGGUAUCCCCCCUUUCCACCUGACUUGGUACCCCCCUUUCCAACUGACUAGGUAUCCCCCCUUUCU